UCAGCACUCACCCUCAGCAUUUGCACUCAGACCACAGGAAGGUUUUGCUGUCCCUCUGGGCCUAACCCGGGGAAGACAUUUUCAUGGGUGUGAGGCAAUGGUACUCAUGUCCACAACACACAUUCAUUCAGGGUGUCGUCAGGACGGUCACUUGGGGCUUCCUCAGCCCCCUACAUGGAGGUGUUCCAUACUUUGAAGUGUAACUUUCUGCUGUGGCAUCGAACUGGCCAGGCUAAAUUCUAAGAAAAUCUGGCAUCCCCGGGGAUGUAAUCUUCUCUUGAACUGAGCUUCUGGAAAGGCUCUAGGACCCAGUUUGGACACAAAAAAGCCCCAUUGAACAGAGCUGACCAGCCCAGGAAACAGCUUGAGAGCUGAACCCAACCACAAAGGCGACCCACUGGAAGAGCAAUUUCAAAGGAAGAAAACGAGACUUCCACCCUUCUCUGUUCUUAGCUGCUUCCUGAUGUAGCAAGAUGGAGGAGGCUUGGGGCCACACCACACCCC
Long non-coding RNA from Peromyscus leucopus (white-footed mouse), 504 nucleotides. RefSeq lists it as uncharacterized. The record is from RefSeq and is a predicted model, not a curated record. The transcript is spliced from 4 exons. NCBI's taxonomy places the organism in Eukaryota, Metazoa, Chordata, Mammalia, Rodentia, Cricetidae.